GGUGAACGCUGGCGGCGUGCCUAAGACAUGCAAGUCGAGCGGGGCAGGUUUAUACCUGUUCAGCGGCGGACGGGUGAGUAACGCGUGGGUGACCUACCCGGAAGAGGCGGACAACCUGGGGAAACCCAGGCUAAUCCGCCAUGUGGUCCUGUCCUGUGGGGCAGGACUAAAGGGGCGACCCGCUUCCGGAUGGGCCCGCGUCCCAUCAGCUAGUUGGUGGGGUAAAGGCCCACCAAGGCGACGACGGGUAGCCGGUCUGCGAGGAUGGCCGGCCACAGGGGCACUGAGACACGGGCCGGACUCCUACGGGAGGCAGCAGUUAGGAAGCGUCCGCAAUGGAAGGAAGUCUGGCGGGGCGACGCCGCGUGGAGGGGGAAGCGCUUCGGGGUGUAAACUCAUGAACUGGGGACGAAAGCCCAGUGUAGGGGGAUGACGGAACCCAGGUAAUAGCGCCGGCCAACUCCGUG
This 467-nucleotide ribosomal RNA is filed under the name uncultured bacterium. RNAcentral's name for it is "partial 16S ribosomal RNA". It matches the Rfam family "Bacterial small subunit ribosomal RNA", at positions 28 to 507 of the family's 1533-position model. The record is from RNAcentral.